AGAGUUUGAUCCUGGCUCAGAACGAACGCUGGCGGCAGGCCUAACACAUGCAAGUCGAACGCGACCUUCGGGUCGAGUGGCGCACGGGUGAGUAACGCGUGGGAAUCUGCCCUGUGGUACGGAAUAACAUCGGGAAACUGGUGCUAAUACCGUAUAUCCCCUGAGGGGGAAAGAUUUAUCGCCAUGGGAGGAGCCCGCGUAGGAUUAGCUAGUUGGUGGGGUAACGGCCUACCAAGGCGACGAUCCUUAGCUGGUCUGAGAGGAUGAUCAGCCACACUGGGACUGAGACACGGCCCAGACUCCUACGGGAGGCAGCAGUGGGGAAUAUUGGACAAUGGGGGAAACCCUGGUCCAGCCAUGCCGCGUGUGUGAUGAAGGCCUUCGGGUUGUAAAGCACUUUCGCACGUGACGAUGAUGACGGUAACGUGAGAAGAAGCCCCGGCUAACUUCGUGCCAGCAGCCGCGGUAAUACGAAGGGGGCAAGCGUUGUUCGGAAUUACUGGGCGUAAAGGGCGCGUAGGCGGUGCUCUAAGUCAGGCGUGAAAGCCCUGGGCUCAACCCGGGAAUUGCGCUUGAUACUGGAGCGCUUGAAUCCAGGAGAGGUUGGUGGAAUUCCCAGUGUAGAGGUGAAAUUCGUAGAGAUUGGGAAGAACACCGGUGGCGAAGGCGGCCAACUGGACUGGUAUUGACGCUGAGGCGCGAAAGCGUGGGGAGCAAACAGGAUUAGAUACCCUAGUAGUCC
RNAcentral lists this ribosomal RNA (742 nucleotides) under uncultured bacterium. RNAcentral describes it as "bacterial SSU rRNA". It matches the Rfam family "Bacterial small subunit ribosomal RNA", at positions 8 to 796 of the family's 1533-position model. The record is from RNAcentral.